CACUGACAUUAGAUACCCGUGUAGUCCUAGCCGUAAACGAUACUCGCUAGGUGUCGGCCACGGUGCGACCGUUGUCGGUGCCGUAGGGAAGCCGUGAAGCGAGCCACCUGGGAAGUACGGCCGCAAGGCUGAAACUUAAAGGAAUUGGCGGGGGAGCACCACAACGGGUGGAGCUUGCGGUUUAAUUGGAUUCAACGCCGGAAAUCUUACCGGGACCGACAGCAACAUGAAGGCCAGGCUGAAGACUUUGCCGGAUUAGCUG
Molecule: ribosomal RNA, 262 nt
Filed under: uncultured archaeon
Lineage: Archaea
Description: partial 16S ribosomal RNA
Rfam family: Archaeal small subunit ribosomal RNA
Source: RNAcentral